CAACAUUGCUGGCCUUACGGAUUAGUUUAUUAAGUCUGUUGGCAUCUGCGACCCUCAGCCUGCUCCCCCAGCAUGCAACAGCGUGCCAGUGAUGUCUUCCACAUCACUGGGACCCUCUGCAGACUCAGACUCAGCAUAAACAGUUUAUGAAAGACUCCACUCAGCUGGGGGGCACAGGUCUUGAGGACGCGGGGACUCACUCCGUCUGGUCCAGCAGACUUGCCUGAGUGAAGUCUCCUCAUUUGCAUCUCAACCUGGUAUUGAGUGAAGGUGAUGGGUGGGGGAGGGGUGUCAGGACUCUCACAGGAGGCAACAGCGCCAUGUGAAUCGAUAUCACGUUAUCCAAGCCAGAAUCGAUUUUAAUCGAUGAAUCGAUUAUUAAAACCCACCCCUCUGUUCAGAUACUUCCAACAGGUGUAUCUACUAAAAAUCUCAGAAUCUGUGACCUUGACCUCAGUGUCCCCAGUGUUUUGGGUUUUUUGUCUUGUCCCACAGGAUUUUUAAAUCUUUUGCUUGUUGAGAUUCCUUACCUUCAUUUUUUUCAGGACAAAGUGACAACAGUGACAAGUUUUCUGCAUAUUUUUACAGGAUGACAAGAACAGCACUGGAUCUCAGAUGUGAUAUUGUUUAUUGUGUCUGCAGAUACCCAAGGAGGACGCACAGGCGUUUGCCAGAGAGAACAGGAUCCACUACAUGGAGGCCUCGGCGAAGAAUCGCUUCAAUGUUGAUGAAGCCUUCUUGGAGCUUGUGCAUAUUAUUAGACAGUUUCAGGAGAUGGAGAGCCCUCCUCCAACUCAUCACACAGGGAAGGAGAAAAGUCGUGGCUGUCCCUGUGUCAUCCUUUAAGCACUAUUAUUACGAAUACCAAAGCCUCAUUCCUCUGCAGAAAGGUGUUUUUGUGUGUACAUAUGAGUGUGUAUGUGCGCAAGAGAGAAGGUGGAUCAGUUUCUUUCCAGAUGAUUACAUUUGCACUUUUGUUAAAAGCAACAUUUAAUUUGGUUUAAUUUUAAGUAGAGAACUGAAAGGAAGAGGUGUGAGCAGCAGCAGGGCGGCACUUGUGACGCAGAUUAAUAAUAACGUUACAACACAAAUCAUAAUUUGUGUCCACAAAUAGAAAUAUCACCAAAAAAUGUAGUAUAUAAUUCACUCUUCAGUGAUGCUAUUUUAAACAAAUCCAGAUACCAGCAUCUGCAACACCACGGCAUCCAUAACUGUCUGAAGAAAUGACAUUAAAUGUGAUAUGUGCAAAAAUUAGCAUGUCAUAAAUGGACAAAUGCUGAUUUUCCCCUUGGCAUGGCUUCGUAUGUUAAGUCGUAAGGGCCAAAGCAAUGCCAUUUUCCAUGCCCUCCUGCAAGGGGCAGGAGAGCUCCAAAGAAGUAUUAUUAUUCAAGACAAAAAGAAGAAUCAUAGCAGAAGCUGGAGUCAGUCUCAAAAGACGAACAAUAUUGAAUACAUCCAUGAAUAACAUGUCAUUUAAGAUCCUGAUCAAAUGACAGUAUUGGCCAUGUGUUGUGCGAUGGCUGCAUCGUUGCAUCGUGGUACUCUAUACUAUGUAUUUGGGGGGUUUUGUACUUUUUCUUUGUAUUUCUCUACUUUAUCAUCGUAAUUGUGAAAAUGCAGUAUAAGCGUUUUGAGUGCUCCAGUGUAGUAGAAAGUGCUACAGAAGAACCUGUCCAUAUACUGGAAGGGUGUGGUCACAACUUCGUGGGUCUCCAGGUGGCAAGAAGCGUCCUAAGAACAAUUAAGAUACUGAACAGAACCCGAAAAUAUAUUGAAUUAAGUCACUUUUAUAAACUAUUAAAACAUUUAUCUGAACUUUA
Haplochromis burtoni (Burton's mouthbrooder) is the source of this 1820-nucleotide long non-coding RNA. RefSeq lists it as uncharacterized. NCBI's taxonomy places the organism in Eukaryota, Metazoa, Chordata, Actinopteri, Cichliformes, Cichlidae. The record is from RefSeq and is a predicted model, not a curated record. The transcript has 2 exons.